Mytilinidion resinicola is the source of this 88-nucleotide non-coding RNA. NCBI's taxonomy places the organism in Eukaryota, Fungi, Ascomycota, Dothideomycetes, Mytilinidiales, Mytilinidiaceae. The record is from the annotation of a RefSeq genome assembly.
GGGCGUAUAACUCAGCGGUAGAGUGUAAGAUUGCAGUUUACUAGUAAUUACUAUCUUAGCGUCCUCGGUUCGAUCCCGAGUACGCCCU